CAAGAAUCGAGGCUGACGGUGCCUGCCGGGACUUUGUGCGCCCGUGCUAGGUUGCGUCCGGCCCCGCUCCUUACCUUGCCUACUGCACCGUUUGUUGCUUCCUGGCGGUGGGACACCGCCGCCAGGAUCCUUCUAAAAGUCUUGUAUAUAAGCAUUGAAAACCCUGAUAUACACUAAAUCGUACAACUUUCAACAAUGGAUCUCUUGGUUCUGGCAUCGAUGAAGAACGCAGCGAAAUGCGAUAAGUAGUGUGAAUUGCAGAAUUCAGUGAAUCAUCGAAUCUUUGAACGCACAUUGCGCCCCUUGGUAUUCCAUGGGGCAUGCCUGUUCGAGCGUCAUCUAAACCCUCAAGCCCCCCGGUGUUGCCCACGCCUAUGGCGUGGGCCCCGCCCGGCUUGGUGUUGGGUGUCUGUCCCCGCCCCCCCGCGCGGACUCGCCCUAAAUGCAUUGGCAGCGGCCUCCCGGCUCCUCGCGCAGCACAUUGCGCAGUAGGACGCGGAGAGAGGCGGGAGGCCGCUGCCAAUGCAUUUAGGGCGAGUCCGCGCGGGGGGGCGGGGACAGACACCCAACACCAAGCCGGGCGGGGCCCACGCCAUAGGCGUGGGCAACACCGGGGGGCUUGAGGGUUUAGAUGACGCUCGAACAGGCAUGCCCCAUGGAAUACCAAGGGGCGCAAUGUGCGUUCAAAGAUUCGAUGAUUCACUGAAUUCUGCAAUUCACACUACUUAUCGCAUUUCGCUGCGUUCUUCAUCGAUGCCAGAACCAAGAGAUCCAUUGUUGAAAGUUGUACGAUUUAGUGUAUAUCAGGGUUUUCAAUGCUUAUAUACAAGACUUUUAGAAGGAUCCUGGCGGCGGUGUCCCACCGCCAGGAAGCAACAAACGGUUGCAGUAGGCAAGGUAAGGAGCGGGGCCGGACGCAACCUAGCACGGGCGCACAAUUGUCAGGUAGGCACGUAAGCUAGAUUCUGUAAUGAUCCUUCCGUAGGUUAACCUACGGAAGGAUCAUUCACAAUAAGAGUGUUCUAUGGCACUCUUUCAAAAAAUCCAUACCCACCUUGUGUGCAAUGUAAGAAAAAGUGUUCUACAGGAGUCAAGGAAGGGAGAGUGGUCUCUGGCCAUUCUUUUUUCCCCUCUUGUGGGAAGCUUUUCUAAUUUACAUAAACACCUUUCUAUAUAGUUCCUAUAGUCUGAAGUUUAGUAGAAUUUACAUAAUUCUUAAAUA
RNAcentral lists this unclassified non-coding RNA (1222 nucleotides) under soil metagenome. Its description in RNAcentral is "partial contains internal transcribed spacer 1, 5.8S ribosomal RNA, and internal transcribed spacer 2". The stretch from base 185 to 338 matches the Rfam family "5.8S ribosomal RNA". The record is from RNAcentral.